Molecule: ribosomal RNA, 463 nt
Filed under: Escherichia coli
Lineage: Bacteria; Pseudomonadati; Pseudomonadota; Gammaproteobacteria; Enterobacterales; Enterobacteriaceae
Description: bacterial SSU rRNA
Rfam family: Bacterial small subunit ribosomal RNA
Source: RNAcentral
AAAUUGAAGAGUUUGAUCAUGGCUCAGAUUGAACGCUGGCGGCAGGCCUAACACAUGCAAGUCGAACGGUAGCAGGAAGAAGCUUGCUUCUUCGCUGACGAGUGGCGGACGGGUGAGUAAUGUCUGGGAAACUGCCUGAUGGAGGGGGAUAACUACUGGAAACGGUAGCUAAUACCGCAUAACGUCGCAAGACCAAAGAGGGGGACCUUCGGGCCUCUUGCCAUCGGAUGUGCCCAGAUGGGAUUAGCUUGUUGGUGGGGUAACGGCUCACCAAGGCGACGAUCCCUAGCUGGUCUGAGAGGAUGACCAGCCACACUGGAACUGAGACACGGUCCAGACUCCUACGGGAGGCAGCAGUGGGGAAUAUUGCACAAUGGGCGCAAGCCUGAUGCAGCCAUGCCGCGUGUAUGAAGAAGGCCUUCGGGUUGUAAAGUACUUUCAGCGGGGAGGAAGGGAGUAAAGU